GGUGGCAUGGUGGAUAUACUUACCUGGGUGGUAUGGCAGAGAUGAAAUUUUAAGCAACCUGGUGCGCUCAGAAAUUUUGUUGAAUGUCAGUGCUUUGACGAUGUGAUCUGGGUAUGCUGGCCUGGGCAAAUCGCUGGGCAAAUUGCUGGGCAUAUCGCUUAGUGCGUCACUGGGCACAUCGCUGGUGAAAUCAGUAGGCACAUCGUUGGGCACAGCGUGUGGCACAUUGCUGGGCGCAGCACUUGGCAGAUCCUUGGUCAUAUCAGUGGGCAUAUCAGCGCUUGGCAUAGCGCUUGUCAUAGUGCUUUGCACAUUGCUGGGCGCAUCAGUAGUCGUGUCCAUGGGCACAUCAGUGGUGGAAUCGGUGGGCACAUCACAUGGCAGAUCCGUGGGCGCAUCAGUUUCUUUGGCGAUGGUAGGUUCCGACUCUGGCUCUGACCUCGGUGGCGACUGAGUUCUUGGCCGUUUCUAGCUGUGGCCGGUGGGAGUGGUGGCUUCGGGUAACUUUUUGCCCUCAGGGUCUGCCGUCGGGGCUAUUGUGGAUGGCGGCGUUCUUUGCCGUUUCGUUUGCCGGCGAUAUAUCUGGACGGCCGGUGAGUCGGUGCGUCCUGUUUCUGUACUUGUGGCCGGUGGUGUCUCGGUGUUGGUGGUGGUUGUUGGUGGUGUGUCCCACGCUUCAUCGUCACUGUCAGAGGGGCUGGGUGGUCUGGGUAACCCUAAUUUCUUCCACAUGAAUGGGCCGCCGGUGGCCCUCAUCUUGAUUCUUACCAUGGUGGUCCUGAGUUUGCCGGUGGGUGAAUGGUGGUCGGAGAGAAGAAAGCUUGAAGAAGAGGAAGAGAUAAAAAACAGUAGUUUAGCGUAAAAAUUAAAAAUAAAAGAAAAGACUACUUAAAGUGAUUAGGGAAUGUGAUCUGCCCUGAUCAUUAAAUGCUGGCCCUCUGGAUUUUUGACAGGGUGAUUUGCCCAGUGAUUUGGGUAAGCAGUGGGCAAAUCACUUGGUCAGACCGCUUCUCCUUUGCAGGUGCUGGGCUGGUACUGUUCACGCC
Molecule: long non-coding RNA, 1046 nt
Filed under: Manihot esculenta (cassava)
Lineage: Eukaryota; Viridiplantae; Streptophyta; Magnoliopsida; Malpighiales; Euphorbiaceae
Description: long non-coding RNA (MESC_LNC005399)
Source: RNAcentral